Molecule: microRNA precursor, 105 nt
Filed under: Marmota monax (woodchuck)
Lineage: Eukaryota; Metazoa; Chordata; Mammalia; Rodentia; Sciuridae
Source: RNAcentral
AGUGGAAUAACUGGGUAAAAUGGUGGUUCCAUUCCUACUUUUUCCUGAGGAAUUUCCAUAUUUCUUUCCAGAGUAGUUGUACCAAUUUGCAGUUCCAUCAGGAAU